GACGAACGCUGGCGGCGUGCCUAGUACAUGCAAGUAGAACGCUGAAGGAGGAGCUUGCUCUUCUGGAUGAGUUGCGAACGGGUGAGUAACGCGUAGGUAACCUGCCUGGUAGCGGGGGAUAACUAUUGGAAACGAUAGCUAAUACCGCAUAAUAGUAGAUGUUGCAUGAUAUUUACUUAAAAGGUGCAAUUGCACCACUACCAGAUGGACCUGCGUUGUAUUAGCUAGUUGGUGGGGUAACGGCUCACCAAGGCGACGAUCCAUAGCCGACCUGAGAGGGGGACCGGCACAACGGGAAUGGAGCAAGGCCCAAGACUCUUACGGGAGGCAGAAGUGGGGAAUAUUGGGCAAUGGGGGAAAGCUGGCCGGAGCACGGCCGGGGGGUGGAGGAAGUUUUCCGGUCGGUAAAAUAUUUUUAACGGGGAGAAAGAGAGUUAGAGUUAAAAGUUCACGCUGUGACGGUACCUGACCAGAAAGCCACGGCUAACUACGUG
This 494-nucleotide ribosomal RNA is filed under the name uncultured bacterium. RNAcentral's name for it is "partial 16S ribosomal RNA". It matches the Rfam family "Bacterial small subunit ribosomal RNA", at positions 28 to 507 of the family's 1533-position model. The record is from RNAcentral.